UACGAAGGUCCCAAGCGUUGUUCGGAAUCACUGGGCGUAAAGGGAGCGUAGGCGGCGUGGUAAGUCAGAUGUGAAAUCCCCGGGCUCAACCUGGGAACUGCAUUUGAAACUGGCAAGCUUGAGUCUUGUAGAGGGGGGUAGAAUUCCAGGUGUAGCGGUGAAAUGCGUAGAGAUCUGGAGGAAUACCGGUGGCGAAGGCGGCCCCCUGGACAAAGACUGACGCUCAGGUGCGAAAGCGUGGGGAGCAAACAGG
RNAcentral lists this ribosomal RNA (253 nucleotides) under uncultured bacterium. RNAcentral's name for it is "partial 16S ribosomal RNA". It matches the Rfam family "Bacterial small subunit ribosomal RNA", at positions 524 to 776 of the family's 1533-position model. The record is from RNAcentral.